This 84-nucleotide transfer RNA is filed under the name Candidatus Aminicenantota bacterium. RNAcentral's name for it is "tRNA-Leu". It matches the Rfam family "tRNA". Rfam says of the family: Transfer RNA (tRNA) molecules are approximately 80 nucleotides in length. Their secondary structure includes four short double-helical elements and three loops (D, anti-codon, and T loops). Further hydrogen bonds mediate the characteristic L-shaped molecular structure. tRNAs have two regions of fundamental functional importance: the anti-codon, which is responsible for specific mRNA codon recognition, and the 3' end, to which the tRNAs corresponding amino acid is attached (by aminoacyl-tRNA synthetases). tRNAs cope with the degeneracy of the genetic code in two manners: having more than one tRNA (with a specific anti-codon) for a particular amino acid; and 'wobble' base-pairing, i.e. permitting non-standard base-pairing at the 3rd anti-codon position. Lineage: Bacteria; Candidatus Aminicenantota. The record is from RNAcentral.
GGGCAGAUGGCGGAAUGGCAGACGCGCUAGGCUUAGGACCUAGUUCCCGAUGAGGGAAUGCGGGUUCGAAUCCCGCUCUGCCCA